GAUCCUGGCUCAGGAUGAACGCUAGCUACAGGCUUAACACAUGCAAGUCGAGGGGCAGCAUGGUCUUAGCUUGCUAAGGCCGAUGGCGACCGGCGCACGGGUGAGUAACACGUAUCCAACCUGCCGUCUACUCUUGGACAGCCUUCUGAAAGGAAGAUUAAUACCGGAUAGUAUCGAGAGAUUGCAUGAUUACCCGAUUAAAGAUUCAUCGGUAACGGAUGGGGAUGCGUUCCA
RNAcentral lists this ribosomal RNA (234 nucleotides) under uncultured bacterium. RNAcentral describes it as "partial 16S ribosomal RNA". It matches the Rfam family "Bacterial small subunit ribosomal RNA", at positions 15 to 240 of the family's 1533-position model. The record is from RNAcentral.